ACAGAGGGUGCGAGCGUUGUCCGGAAUCACUGGGCGUAAAGGGCGCGUAGGUGGCUGGGGAAGCGUGUGGUGAAAGCCCGGGGCUCAACCCCGGGUCGGCCAUGCGAACUGCCCGGCUGGAGCACGGUAGAGGCACAUGGAAUUCCGGGUGUAGCGGUGGAAUGCGUAGAGAUCCGGAAGAACACCGGUGGCGAAGGCGGUGUGCUGGGCCGUUGCUGACACUGAGGCGCGACAGCGUGGGGAGCAAACAGGAUUAGAUACCCUGGUAGUCCACGCCGUAAACGAUGGGCACUAGGUCCUUGGGGGAGCGACCCCGUGAGGGCCGGCGCUAACGCAUUAAGUGCCCCGCCUGGGGAGUACGGCCGCAAGGCUG
RNAcentral lists this ribosomal RNA (373 nucleotides) under uncultured bacterium. RNAcentral describes it as "bacterial SSU rRNA". It matches the Rfam family "Bacterial small subunit ribosomal RNA", at positions 525 to 896 of the family's 1533-position model. The record is from RNAcentral.